AUGGCUUUUUUCUGGCCACUCUUCCGCAAAGCCCAGCUCUGUGGAGUGUACGGCUUAAAGUGGUCCUAUGGACAGAUACUCCAAUCAUACAUACAGUACAUACAGUACAUCCAGUACAUACAGUACAUAGUACAUACAUACAGUACAUACAGUACAUCCAGUACAUACAUACAUACAGUACAUCCAGUACAUACAUACAUACAUAGUACAUACAUACAGUACAUACAUACAGUACAUACAGUACAUACAUACAUACAUACAUACAUACAUACAUACAUACAUACACAGUACAUACAUACACUACAUACUGUACAUACAUACUGUACAUACAUACAUGCUGUACAUACAUACUGUACAUACAUACAUGCUGUACAUACAUACAUGCUGUACAUACAUACAUACAGUACAUACAUACAUACAUGCUGUACAUACAUACAUACAUGCUGUACAUACAUACAUACAUGCUGUACAUACAUACAUACAUGCUGUACAUACAUACAUACAUGCUGUACAUACAUACAUACAUACAUGCUGUACAUACAUGCUGUACAUACAUACAUACAUACAUACAGCACAUACAUACAUACAUACAUACAUACAUACAUACAUACUGUACAUACAUACAUACUGUACAUACUAUACAUACAUACUGUACAUACUAUACAUACAGUACAUACAUACAUACAUACAUACACACACACACACACACACACAUACAUACAUACUGUACAUACAUACAUACUGUACAUACAUACAUACAUACAUACAUACUGUACAUACAUACAUACAUACAUACAUACAUACAUACUGUACAUACAUACAUACAUACUGUACAUACAUACAUACUGUACAUACAUACAUACAUACAUACAUACUGUACAUACAUACAUACUGUACAUACAUACAUACAUACAUACUGUACAUACAUACAUACAUACAUACAUACAUAUAUACAUACAUACUGUACAUACAUACAUACAUACAUACUGUACAUACAUACAUACAUACAUAUAUACAUACUGUAUAUACAUAUAUACAUACAUACUGUACAUACAUACAUACUGUACAUACAUACAUACAUACAUACUGUAUAUACAGUAUAUACAUACAUACAUACUGUACAUACAUACAUACUGUACAUACAUACAUACAUACAUACAUACAUACAGUAUAUACAUACAUACAGUAUAUACAUACAUACAUACUGUACAUACAUACAUACUGUACAUACAUACAUACAUACAUACAUACAUACUGUACAUACAUACAGUACAUACAUACUGUACAUACAUACAUACAUACAUACAUACAUACAGUACAUACAUACAUACAUACAUACAUACAUACAUACAUACAUACAUACAGUAUAUACAUACAUACAUACAUACAGUAUAUACAUACAUACAGUAUAUACAUAUAUACAUACAUACUGUACAUACAUACAUACAUACAUACUGUACAUACAUACAUACUGUACAUACAUACAUACAUACAUACAUACAUACAUACAUACAUACAUACAUACAUACAUACAUACAUACAUACAUACAUACUGUACAUACAUACAUACAUACAUACAUACAUACAUACAUACUGUACAUAUAUACAUACAUACCACUUUUCAGUUUUUUAUAUUUUAGAAUUCAAGUGAUUUUUUUUAUUUCACUAUUUUGUCCAUUACAAACACAAAUCCAUUUAAAUUACAGGUUGUAA
Molecule: long non-coding RNA, 1713 nt
Organism: Oncorhynchus kisutch (coho salmon)
Lineage: Eukaryota; Metazoa; Chordata; Actinopteri; Salmoniformes; Salmonidae
Source: Ensembl